Long non-coding RNA from Manduca sexta (tobacco hornworm), 461 nucleotides. RefSeq lists it as uncharacterized. The transcript is spliced from 2 exons. Lineage: Eukaryota; Metazoa; Arthropoda; Insecta; Lepidoptera; Sphingidae. The record is from RefSeq and is a predicted model, not a curated record.
ACACAAUGUAAUAAGUGAUUCAGAUCUGUUUGUGUUCGGUUCUUGAAAAUUGUAGCUGUGGACGGAAUCAAUUUCUGUGAUUUAGUUUUACAUCGCAAAAUUGUGUUUAAAAUCGUUUUUGUUGCUGUUAAGUAAAGUCUAAGUGUGGUUAUUUUUUGUGCAAUACGAUCGUUAAUAUUGUAAAUGUCAAAGUUUGAGGAAAUUAUUUUAGGAUGAUGUAAUAUUGUGUACAAAAAAUGAAAGACAAGAGACUUGAAGUGAAACUGAGCGUCCGCGGCGACGGCUCGCUCAGUAGAAACAGUUUGAGAAGCAGCACCAGAAGCGAUCGAAGUAAUUUGAGCAACAACAGUGGACUGCCCGUUAGCGAAAUAUUCGCCACAGAUCGAUUCUCAGCACCACACAGCAGACCUUUCGAUACACUCGAUAAGUACCGCCGGCAACCGAAUCAACGCAGCUAUAUA